Zophobas morio is the source of this 154-nucleotide long non-coding RNA. RefSeq lists it as uncharacterized. The record is from RefSeq and is a predicted model, not a curated record. The transcript is spliced from 3 exons. Lineage: Eukaryota; Metazoa; Arthropoda; Insecta; Coleoptera; Tenebrionidae.
UUGUACAAUUUUUUAUUAAUGGAACACUGGAAAUUGUUUUGUGGGAUCUCGGAGGAAAAGAAGAAAUGAAAAUCUUUUGGAAUAAAUACUAUAAUGAAGUUGAUGCAGUCAUAUUUAUAUUUGAUGGGACCGUUUCUGAAGUUCAUGCCAUGUU